AGUGAACGCUGGCGGUAGGCCUAACACAUGCAAGUCGAACGGCAGCACAGUAAGAGCUUGCUCUUACGGGUGGCGAGUGGCGGACGGGUGAGGAAUACAUCGGAAUCUACUUUUUCGUGGGGGAUAACGUAGGGAAACUUACGCUAAUACCGCAUACGACCUACGGGUGAAAGCAGGGGAUCUUCGCACCUUGCGCGAUUGAAUGAGCCGAUGUCGGAUUAGCUAGUUGGCGGGGUAAAGGCCCACCAAGGCGACGAUCCGUAGCCGGUCUGAGAGGAUGAUCAGCCACACUGGAACGGAGACACGGUCCAGACGCCUACGGGAGGCAGCAGUGGGGAAUAUUGGACAAUGGGCGCAAGCCUGAUCCAGCCAUACCGCGUGGGUGAAGAAGGCCUUCGGGUUGUAAAGCCCUUUUGUUGGGAAAGAAAAGCAGCAGGUUAAUACCCCGCUGUUCUGACGGUACCCAAAGAAUAAGCACCGGCUAACUUCGUG
Molecule: ribosomal RNA, 492 nt
Filed under: uncultured bacterium
Lineage: Bacteria
Description: partial 16S ribosomal RNA
Rfam family: Bacterial small subunit ribosomal RNA
Source: RNAcentral